AAAGAAGAACACGUAUGAGAGUAACUGUUACAUACGUUGACGGUAUUUAACCAGAAAGUCACGGCUAACUACGUGCCAGCAGCCGCGGUAAUACGUAGGUGGCAAGCGUUAUCCGGAUUUAUUGGGCGUAAAGAGAGUGCAGGCGGUUUUCUUAAGUCUGAUGUGAAAGCCUUCGGCUUAACCGGAGAAGUGCAUCGGAAACUGGAUAACUUGAGUGCAGAAGAGGGUAGUGGAACUCCAUGUGUAGCGGUGGAAUGCGUAGAUAUAUGGAAGAACACCAGUGGCGAAGGCGGCUACCUGGUCUGCAACUGACGCUGAGACUCGAAAGCAUGGGUAGCGAACAGGAUUAGAUACCCUGGUAG
This 362-nucleotide ribosomal RNA is filed under the name uncultured bacterium. RNAcentral describes it as "bacterial SSU rRNA". It matches the Rfam family "Bacterial small subunit ribosomal RNA", at positions 441 to 793 of the family's 1533-position model. The record is from RNAcentral.